RNAcentral lists this ribosomal RNA (990 nucleotides) under uncultured bacterium. Its description in RNAcentral is "bacterial SSU rRNA". It matches the Rfam family "Bacterial small subunit ribosomal RNA", at positions 20 to 1024 of the family's 1533-position model. The record is from RNAcentral.
UGGCUCAGGACGAACGCUGGCGGCGUGCUUAACACAUGCAAGUCGAACGGAUCAUCAGGUUUUCGGAUUUGGUGGUGAGUGGCGAACGGGUGAGUAACACGUGAGUAACCUGCCCCGGACUUUGGGAUAACGACUCGAAAGGGUUGCUAAUACCGGAUAUUGAACUGUUGCCGCAUGGUGGUGGUUUGAAAGUUUUUUCGGUUCGGGAUGGGCUCGCGGCCUAUCAGCUUGUUGGUGGGGUGAUGGCCUACCAAGGCUUCGACGGGUAGCCGGCCUGAGAGGGCGACCGGCCACACUGGGACUGAGAUACGGCCCAGACUCCUACGGGAGGCAGCAGUGGGGAAUAUUGCACAAUGGGCGAAAGCCUGAUGCAGCAACGCCGCGUGCGGGAUGACGGCCUUCGGGUUGUAAACCGCUUUCAGCUCUGACGAAUUUGACGGUAAGAGCAGAAGAAGCACCGGCUAACUACGUGCCAGCAGCCGCGGUGAUACGUAGGGUGCGAGCGUUGUCCGGAUUUAUUGGGCGUAAAGAGCUCGUAGGUGGUUGUUUGCGUCGGAAGUGAAAACCUAGCGCUUAACGCUGGGCUUGCUUUCGAUACGGGAUGACUUGAGGAAGGUAGGGGAGAACGGAAUUCCUGGUGGAGCGGUGGAAUGCGCAGAUAUCAGGAGGAACACCGGUGGCGAAGGCGGUUCUCUGGACCUUUCCUGACGCUGAGGAGCGAAAGCGUGGGGAGCAAACAGGCUUAGAUACCCUGGUAGUCCACGCCGUAAACGGUGGGCACUAGGUGUGGGGGACAUUCCACGUUCUCCGUGCCGUAGCUAACGCAUUAAGUGCCCCGCCUGGGGAGUACGGCCGCAAGGCUAAAACUCAAAGGAAUUGACGGGGGCCCGCACAAGCGGCGGAGCAUGCGGAUUAAUUCGAUGCAACGCGAAGAACCUUACCUGGGUUUGACAUGCACGUGACGCGUUCAGAGAUGGGCGUUCCUUCGGG